CUCAAACUCACCAAGUCUUCUACAGCAGAUCCUGACCCCAAAGCUGGAGAUAAGUGGCUGAAAGAGAAGGAGACAGAGAGGAAUGAGGGGAGACGGAAGAAGCAGGAGGGUGGAUACGUGUGCGGGAGCCAGAAGCUGGGCAAGGAAGGGAGGAGGGCAGCUGAGGGGACACAGAGAUGGCCAGAGUGGCAGGGGAUGGAGAGGUUGGGCCUCAGAAAAACAGAUAUACAGAGAGAAGGACUGGGGUCGGCGUGACUCCCCGCCCUCCUCCGCAGCGCAGAGGACCCUCGGCUGCAGCCUGCUCGCGCGGGUCGGGACUGGCAUCGAUCUUCCAGGGAGGGAGCUUUAUCUGCAGUCUAGGCUUCAGAGGCUACAGACGCCGCCCCCCUCUCAGCCCCACAAGUGUCACAACUGCCGGAGCAGGGGGGCGCCUUCUCCACCAGAGGCCCCGUCCCCCCCACACACUUCGGUAUGCCCCCCCCACAACUUCCGAGGGCACCCCACCUCUGAGUCCCAUCUCCCAGCUCUGAGCUCUUCCACUUCAGAGGCUUUUCGCUCGGAGUGGGAGACCCUCCGAUCUCAGGGGUCCCUUGCGGCUCCCGGGAGCCGGUACAGCCGCCCUGGGUACAGGAACGCACCCUCACCGAGCCGCCCCGCUCGCAGUGGCCGGGUCCCCGCCCCGCCCGGCCGGCCGCGCCCGCCCAACUUGGAGGGAGCAGAGAAGCUCCCGCCCGCGGCCUCCCGCCAGCAAACUUCCCGGGCCCGCGCCCGCGCCCAGUCCCGGACCGGCGGGGCUCCCCUCCCGCGGACCCCCAGCCCGUUCGCCGGCGCCGGGCCUCACCUGGUGCCCUCCCCGCCGCGGGGGAGCUGGGGGCGGCGGCAGCGGCUCGGGGCUCGAGAAGGAAGUGAGAGCGGGAGGCCGGAGGAAGUGGGGGGGGCGGGCCGGCGGCCGGGGCGGGGCGCGGGGGCGGGCCGGGGCGGGGCCCGACCAGGAAGUCCGCAGGCCGGUCCCCCCGCCCGGGUCUCCUCCCACCAGGCUCGCCCACCACUCAGUCCUGGGCUCCCCAAACCCAGCCCCCUGCCUCUGAGACCCUUAAGGUCAGGCCUCCCAAGGUCGGUCCUCGUCUCGUCCUCCCGGCCACCCCCACCCCAGUAGAGGCCCUAGCUUAGGCGCUAGGCUUUUGUACCCCUCCCCGUAUCUCGCCCCCACGAAUCCCCGCGGGAAGAUGCUGAGAACUGGCGCCCCUAGGCCUGGUGCCUUCAGUCAAGCCCAGGGAUGGUGCGAUGGCCAAGGCUGGGGGCUGGCCAGAAUGGGUCAGGUUGGGGCAGUCCCCACCCCUGCCCCGAGCCCCGGGGGAGUACGGGGUGGUGGUGAUUCAGCAGUGGGAAGGCCCCAGACCCCUGGGAGGGUGCGGAGACUGGGGGAAGGGGAGCUGGCGUCAGCACCCAGGGGAAGACGAGAUCAGCAGAGGCGCAGGCGGAGCCGCGGGCCCCAAAAACAGGAUGUCGUGUCGUCGUUCCGCACCCGGCGGCUCCGCGCGCCUGGGCUCUGGGGAGGGGGCGGGGCGGACGGAGGACAUGGGGCUCCCCUCGCCUUGUCUUCUCGCCGGGGCGCGCAACUGCUUGGGACUGAAGGGCCG
Equus asinus (donkey) is the source of this 1640-nucleotide long non-coding RNA. Lineage: Eukaryota; Metazoa; Chordata; Mammalia; Perissodactyla; Equidae. The record is from Ensembl.